GGCCCCAUCGUCUAGCGGUUAGGACGUCACCCUUUCAAGGUGAAGAUCACGGGUUCGAUCCCCGUUGGGGUCA
RNAcentral lists this transfer RNA (73 nucleotides) under Alphaproteobacteria bacterium. RNAcentral's name for it is "tRNA-Glu". It matches the Rfam family "tRNA". Rfam says of the family: Transfer RNA (tRNA) molecules are approximately 80 nucleotides in length. Their secondary structure includes four short double-helical elements and three loops (D, anti-codon, and T loops). Lineage: Bacteria; Pseudomonadati; Pseudomonadota; Alphaproteobacteria. The record is from RNAcentral.